UACGGUCGGCAUAGUAGCUCAAUUUAGCAGUUUAGGUUGCUAAAGUCCCUGGUGUUUUAAGCAUAGCGUCAGCUUAGCCGAGGAGCUGCUCCUGUGAGUUGUGGAAUUUCUGAAACACAGUUUUCAUAAUAUGGUGAUGGCAUCUGUCGACUUGGACAGGCUGUGCUCCCACCUCUCCAGCAUGCAAGCUGAUAAGCUACAUACCCUGCAGGACGACGAUUCUCUAACCAUUCCGCUGAUUAGGGGAAUGACCGUACCAACGGCUGUUGCCAGUAUCCGUUCGCAUAUUGCCGCUAUGUCGGACAUGAAGGAUCGCCUGUGCUGCAUAAACGAGAUUUAUUUGUCUCUCAUGGAAAAAGGCGUCAUCGCACCCUGGCUUUUUGUUCGGAUUUGCGACACUCGGGGUGCACCUGAGGACACCCCCAUGGCCCGCUAUUUCCAGAAUGUUAAGUCGAACAUGGAUUUCAUUUAUUCGAUGGAUGUAACCGAAGAACGUACUCACAUAUGCGCGAUGCUUGGGGAAAGCAGCACGCCGAAUGUGGGGCUUGACGUCUACUGUUUCUGCUUCUGGCCACCGGUGCAGGGCGUUGCAGUCUUCAAACCACAGUAUGGAUUCUCCAGGCGGCAACAGGACGUUCUUCGUGAGAUGCUCGGCAAUGGACGUGAGUUCUGUGGAUUUGGCCCCUACCAAGACCUAAAUUCGGCGCACAGUGCUGGCGUGUUUGUUUCCUCGUGUUCAAGCUCAGAGUAGGGCGUCGGGUAGUGAUGAUUCCCAAUCAUUUAAACUAUUAAACAGCUUGAGCGCCGACCCACCUGCUGUAUGGCACAGUUGAAGACGAAGUCACAUGAUGGAUUUGAAGAUACUGUAAUGACCAAUCAACUUACCCUUCUGCACGAGACAGCUUUGCGAAGAACGUUGCUCGCAUACGCCCUUAAGUAAAAAAAAAUAAGCUAGCAGAGUAUAGUGCAUUUCGCGUGUAAAUGUCUUGCAACCUAUGUACUGCCAUCUGUAACAGUGCUGGAUGAUUGUGUGACGUGGCCUAAAAAUGCAGCCCCAACUUUCGCAAUGUGCGCGCCGUUGGCGCCAUUCUGUUUUAGCUAAUAUGGAAUGUUUUGCAUAUUGCAUCUUUUGUCAAGAUCACUUAGGUGCGUUUGAGAUGUUUCAAUAAAAAAGCCGAAUAAAGCAGCGUUUGCUCAUGU
This is a long non-coding RNA of Rhipicephalus microplus (southern cattle tick), 1200 nucleotides long. RefSeq lists it as uncharacterized. NCBI's taxonomy places the organism in Eukaryota, Metazoa, Arthropoda, Arachnida, Ixodida, Ixodidae. The record is from RefSeq and is a predicted model, not a curated record.